Molecule: ribosomal RNA, 253 nt
Filed under: uncultured bacterium
Lineage: Bacteria
Description: partial 16S ribosomal RNA
Rfam family: Bacterial small subunit ribosomal RNA
Source: RNAcentral
UACGUAGGGUGCGAGCGUUGUCCGGAAUUAUUGGGCGUAAAGGGCUCGUAGGCGGUCUGUCACGUCGAAAGUGAAAACUCAGGGCUUAACCCUGAGCCUGCUUCCGAUACGGGCAGACUAGAGGUAUGCAGGGGAGAACGGAAUUCCCGGUGUAGCGGUGAAAUGCGCAGAUAUCGGGAAGAACACCCGUGGCGAAGGCGGUUCUCUGGGACGGUACUGACGCUGAGACGCGAAAGCGUGGGGAGCGAACAGG